CUCAAGGCGGAGUGUCCCUCAGCCUGGAUUGCGAGAGGGUGCAGGCCAGGCUGAGGGACCCCAUCGGUGUACA
RNAcentral lists this microRNA precursor (73 nucleotides) under Myotis lucifugus (little brown bat). RNAcentral describes it as "mir-9193 microRNA precursor family". It matches the Rfam family "mir-9193 microRNA precursor family". The record is from Rfam by way of RNAcentral. Lineage: Eukaryota; Metazoa; Chordata; Mammalia; Chiroptera; Vespertilionidae.